AUCUACGGCCAUACCACCCUGAACACACCCGAUCUUGUCUGAUCUCAGAAGCUAAGCGGGGUUGGGCCUGGUCAUUACUUAGAUGGGAAAACCCCAGAGUUCAUCAUGUAUCCUGAUUC
Molecule: non-coding RNA, 119 nt
Organism: Erinaceus europaeus (western European hedgehog)
Lineage: Eukaryota; Metazoa; Chordata; Mammalia; Eulipotyphla; Erinaceidae
Source: Rfam